RNAcentral lists this ribosomal RNA (899 nucleotides) under uncultured bacterium. RNAcentral describes it as "bacterial SSU rRNA". It matches the Rfam family "Bacterial small subunit ribosomal RNA", at positions 8 to 901 of the family's 1533-position model. The record is from RNAcentral.
AGAGUUUGAUCCUGGCUCAGAUUGAACGCUGGCGGAAUGCUUUACACAUGCAAGUCGAACGGCAGCACGGGAGCUUGCUCCUGGUGGCGAGUGGCGAACGGGUGAGUAACACAUCGGAACGUACCCAGACGUGGGGGAUAACACAUCGAAAGAUGUGCUAAUACCGCAUACGACCUGAGGGUGAAAGGGGGGGAUCGCAAGACCUCUCGCGUUUGGAGCGGCCGAUGUCGGAUUAGCUAGUUGGUGGGGUAAAGGCUCACCAAGGCGACGAUCCGUAGCUGGUCUGAGAGGAUGAUCAGCCACACUGGAACUGAGACACGGUCCAGACUCCUACGGGAGGCAGCAGUGGGGAAUUUUGGACAAUGGGGGCAACCCUGAUCCAGCCAUUCCGCGUGAGUGAAGAAGGCCUUCGGGUUGUAAAGCUCUUUCGGCAGGAACGAAACGGUGCGGGCCAAUACCCUGCAUCAAUGACGGUACCUGAAGAAGAAGCACCGGCUAACUACGUGCCAGCAGCCGCGGUAAUACGUAGGGUGCGAGCGUUAAUCGGAAUUACUGGGCGUAAAGCGUGCGCAGGCGGUUAUGUAAGACAGGUGUGAAAUCCCCGGGCUUAACCUGGGAACUGCGCUUGUGACCGCAUAACUCGAGUGUGGCAGAGGGGGGUGGAAUUCCACGUGUAGCAGUGAAAUGCGUAGAGAUGUGGAGGAACACCGAUGGCGAAGGCAGCCCCCUGGGAUGACACUGACGCUCAUGCACGAAAGCGUGGGGAGCAAACAGGAUUAGAUACCCUGGUAGUCCACGCCCUAAACGAUGUCAACUGGUUGUUGGGAGAGCAAUCUUUCAGUAACGAAGCUAACGCGUGAAGUUGACCGCCUGGGGAGUACGGCCGCAAGGUUGAAACU